Molecule: ribosomal RNA, 446 nt
Filed under: uncultured bacterium
Lineage: Bacteria
Description: partial 16S ribosomal RNA
Rfam family: Bacterial small subunit ribosomal RNA
Source: RNAcentral
CCUACGGGUGGCAGCAGUCGAGAAUCAUUCACAAUGGGGGAAACCCUGAUGGUGCGACGCCGCGUGGGGGAAUGAAGUUCCUCGGAUUGUAAACCUCUGUCAUGUGGGAGCAAAUUAAAAAGAUAGUACCACAAGAGGAAGAGACGGCUAACUCGGUGCCAACAGCCGCGGUAAUACAGAGGUCUCAAGCGUUGUUCGGAAUCACUGGGCGUAAAGCGUGCGUAGGCUGUUUCGUAAGUCGUGUGUGAAAGGCGCGGGCUCAACCCGCGGACGGCACAUGAUACUGCGUGACUAGAGUAGUGGAGGGGGAAGCGGAAUUCGCGGUGUAGCAGUGAAAUGCGUAGAUAUCGAGAGGAACACUCGUGGCGAAGGCGGGUUCCUGGACAUUAACUGACGCUGAGGCACGAAGGCCAGGGGAGCGAAAGGGAUUAGAUACCCUUGUAGUC